This 77-nucleotide transfer RNA is filed under the name Sulfolobus sp. F3. RNAcentral describes it as "tRNA-Tyr". It matches the Rfam family "tRNA". From Rfam's summary of the family: Transfer RNA (tRNA) molecules are approximately 80 nucleotides in length. Their secondary structure includes four short double-helical elements and three loops (D, anti-codon, and T loops). The record is from RNAcentral. Lineage: Archaea; Thermoproteati; Thermoproteota; Thermoprotei; Sulfolobales; Sulfolobaceae.
CCCGCCGUAGCUCAGCCCGGUUUAGAGCGCCCGGCUGUAGACCGGGUGGUCCGGGGUUCAAGUCCCCCGCGGCGGGA